GACGAACGCUGGCGGCGUGCUUAACACAUGCAAGUCGAACGGAAAGGCCCUGCUUUUGUUGGGUUCUCGAUUGGCGAACGGGUGAGUAACACGUGAGUAACCUGCCCUUGACUGUGUGAUAACUUCAGGAAACUGGGGCUAAUACCGGAUAUGAGCUCCUGAUGCAUGUGGUGGGUUGGAGAGAGUCGGUGGUGGUGGAUGGACUGGCGGCUUAUCAGCUUGUUGGUGAGGUAGUGGCUUACCAGGGCUUUGAGGGGUAGCCGGCAUGGGAGGGUGACCGGGCACAUUGGGACUGAGAUAGGGAGCAGAAGCGUACGGGAGGCAGCAGUGGGGAACAUUGCAGAAUGGGCGGAAGCGUGAUGCAGCAACGCCGCGUGCGGGAUGACGGCUUUCGGGUUGUAAACAGAUUUGGAAUGUGACGAAGCGUGAGUGACGGUAAUGGGUCAAGAAGCAACGGCUAACUACGUG
RNAcentral lists this ribosomal RNA (468 nucleotides) under uncultured bacterium. Its description in RNAcentral is "partial 16S ribosomal RNA". It matches the Rfam family "Bacterial small subunit ribosomal RNA", at positions 28 to 507 of the family's 1533-position model. The record is from RNAcentral.